This 201-nucleotide ribosomal RNA is filed under the name uncultured bacterium. RNAcentral's name for it is "partial 16S ribosomal RNA". It matches the Rfam family "Bacterial small subunit ribosomal RNA", at positions 1286 to 1500 of the family's 1533-position model. The record is from RNAcentral.
CCCUAGUUCGGAUUGUAGGCUGAAACUCGCCUACAUGAAGCUGGAAUUGCUAGUAAUCACAGGUCAGCAUACUGUGGUGAAUACGUUCCCGGGCCUUGUACACACCGCCCGUCACACCAUGAGAGUUGAGAAUACCCGAAGCCCAUGUCAAAGUGGUCGAAGGUAGGCUUGAUGAUUGGGGUGAAGUCGUAACAAGGUAGC